Molecule: ribosomal RNA, 610 nt
Filed under: Limnobacter sp.
Lineage: Bacteria; Pseudomonadati; Pseudomonadota; Betaproteobacteria; Burkholderiales; Burkholderiaceae
Description: bacterial SSU rRNA
Rfam family: Bacterial small subunit ribosomal RNA
Source: RNAcentral
UUGGGGCGCGCUUAACAUGCAAGUCGAACGGUAACAGGGAGCUUGCUCCGCUGACGAGUGGCGAACGGGUGAGUAAUACAUCGGAACGUGCCCAGUAAUGGGGGAUAGCUCGGCGAAAGCCGGAUUAAUACCGCAUACGCCCUGAGGGGGAAAGUGGGGGACCGCAAGGCCUCACGUUAUUGGAGCGGCCGAUGGCUGAUUAGCUAGUUGGUAGGGUAAAGGCCUACCAAGGCGACGAUCAGUAGCUGGUCUGAGAGGACGAUCAGCCACACUGGGACUGAGACACGGCCCAGACUCCUACGGGAGGCAGCAGUGGGGAAUUUUGGACAAUGGGGGAAACCCUGAUCCAGCAAUGCCGCGUGUGCGAAGAAGGCCUUCGGGUUGUAAAGCACUUUUGUCAGGGAAGAAAUCCUUUGGGCUAAUACCCUAGGGGGAUGACGGUACCUGAAGAAUAAGCACCGGCUAACUACGUGCCAGCAGCCGCGGUAAUACGUAGGGUGCAAGCGUUAAUCGGAAUUACUGGGCGUAAAGCGUGCGCAGGCGGUUGUGUAAGACAGGUGUGAAAUCCCCGGGCUUAACCUGGGAAUUGCAUUUGUGACUGCACGACUAG